Molecule: long non-coding RNA, 403 nt
Filed under: Panax ginseng (ginseng)
Lineage: Eukaryota; Viridiplantae; Streptophyta; Magnoliopsida; Apiales; Araliaceae
Description: long non-coding RNA (PGIN_LNC019118)
Source: RNAcentral
UGCUGAGCUUAAAUUUUUAAUAUAUUUCCGCAUUUGGCGGAGUGUAUUAUUUUCAUAAUUUGAUGUUCGAUUGAAUCUUUUUCUCUUGUUUAGUUUUCCUCCCAUUUUCAGGUUUCACUUUUGAGAUGAAUUGCAUGUUUUAUUGAUUGCAACUAUAAGAGAUCCAUGCUUAUGACAAUGUUUUAUGUGCUGUGUAGCCUUGCUACAUGUUGGGGUUAAUGUUGAUUACAAAGAUUUUAGAUGACUUCGUCAAAGAUUGUCAGCUGAAUUGAAGGACAGAUUGAUGAGAUCUGUUGGCUAUUUUUGUACAAAGGUUAUGCUUGCAUUCUAGCAAAAAUUACCUGUUUGCUUAUUUACUUGUACAUAUUUAUCUUGAAGAGGAAAAACUAUCAGAACAAGAAAC